This 343-nucleotide unclassified non-coding RNA is filed under the name soil metagenome. RNAcentral describes it as "partial contains 5.8S ribosomal RNA, internal transcribed spacer 2, and large subunit ribosomal RNA". The stretch from base 1 to 120 matches the Rfam family "5.8S ribosomal RNA", at positions 35 to 154 of the family's 154-position model. The record is from RNAcentral.
GAUGAAGAACGCAGCGAAAUGCGAUAAGUAAUGUGAAUUGCAGAAUUCAGUGAAUCAUCGAAUCUUUGAACGCACAUUGCGCCCGCUAGUAUUCUGGCGGGCAUGCCUGUCCGAGCGUCAUUUCAACCCUCAAGCCCCCGGGCUUGGUGUUGGGGAUCGGCGAGCCUCAGCGCCCGCCGUCCCCUAAAUCUAGUGGCGGUCUCGCUGUAGCUUCCUCUGCGUAGUAGCACACCUCGCACUGGGAAACAGCGCGGCCACGCCGUUAAACCCCCAACUUCUGAACGUUUGACCUCGGAUCAGGUAGGAAUACCCGCUGAACUUAAGCAUAUCAAUAAGCGGAGGA